Molecule: transfer RNA, 81 nt
Filed under: Carboxylicivirga sp. M1479
Lineage: Bacteria; Pseudomonadati; Bacteroidota; Bacteroidia; Marinilabiliales; Marinilabiliaceae
Description: tRNA-Cys
Rfam family: tRNA
About the family: Transfer RNA (tRNA) molecules are approximately 80 nucleotides in length. Their secondary structure includes four short double-helical elements and three loops (D, anti-codon, and T loops).
Source: RNAcentral
UGGCGAUUAGCUCAGUUGGUUUAGAACAUUCCGUUGCAAUGCACGGAAGGGUCGGGGGUUCGACUCCCUCAUCGCCCACUA